CCUUAACCAAAUAACGCACAUACCUUUAAUAUUUCAUAAUCUACAUUGUGGAAAAGAAAGAAGAUGAAGAAGAAUUUCCAAUUAUUUGGUUAUAUUAACAAAUAAUUACAUUCAAGCUUGAAGACUUUAACAUUACACACAAAACUGUGCAAAAUAGAAGAGGAAGAAAGAGCAAAAAAUAGGAUAUCUGAAUCUUAAUCUUAAUGGAAAAAUAUGCAAAACCAAAAACAGGUAAGUGAAGCAUUGGAAUUUGCAGAAGAUACUUAUCUCAAUCACCUUUAAAAAGUGUGAUAUAUUUGUGUUUUUUUACAAAAUAGGAUUGGGGUUUAAUAGUUCAAAA
Molecule: long non-coding RNA, 340 nt
Organism: Salvia splendens (bonfire salvia)
Lineage: Eukaryota; Viridiplantae; Streptophyta; Magnoliopsida; Lamiales; Lamiaceae
Exons: 4
Source: RefSeq, a predicted model, not a curated record